CAGUGGGGAAUAUUGCACAAUGGGCGCAAGCCUGAUGCAGCCAUGCCGCGUGUAUGAAGAAGGCCUUCGGGUUGUAAAGUACUUUCAGCAGUGAGGAAGGCGGAGUCGUUAAUAGCGGCCUCGUUUGACGUUAGCUGCAGAAGAAGCACCGGCUAACUCCGUGCCAGCAGCCGCGGUAAUACGGAGGGUGCGAGCGUUAAUCGGAAUUACUGGGCGUAAAGCGCAUGCAGGUGGUUUGUUAAGUCAGAUGUGAAAGCCCGGGGCUCAACCUCGGAAUUGCAUUUGAAACUGGCAGACUAGAGUACUGUAGAGGGGGUAGAAUUUCAGGUGUAGCGGUGAAAUGCGUAGAGAUCUGAAGGAAUACCGGUGGCGAAGGCGGCCCCCUGGACAGAUACUGACACUCAGAUGCGAAAGCGUGGGGAGCAAACAGGAUUAGAUACCCUGGUGA
RNAcentral lists this ribosomal RNA (448 nucleotides) under uncultured bacterium. Its description in RNAcentral is "bacterial SSU rRNA". It matches the Rfam family "Bacterial small subunit ribosomal RNA", at positions 352 to 793 of the family's 1533-position model. The record is from RNAcentral.